UCAUGUUAUUCAGCUGAUACAAACAAUUCAGAAACUUCAGAUAGAUUCAUAUAGUAAUAGUAGUCAUCAAUCUGUACGAGUGAAAGUUUUCUGUUGCAGUGGGUUCCUAAAGAAGCAGACCUUCUAAUCACAUCUGCAACCUAUUCUUCAAAUGGUCAGUCAUUAUAUGUUAGCUUCAAAACUGGAUGUCUAAAGUUUCUUGUCUCUACAACACUAGAUGUAAGAUGUCAGAUUAAUGUAACUGCUUACAUACACAACCCCGUACCAGCUGAAGACUGUUAAACAAAGAGCAAUUUGUAGCUCCUCUUCUAUCUCCAUUCAUCCCAUUAAAACUGUUUUAUAUAUGGUUUACAGGUCUACCCUCUUUUUAUUGCAGCUCAUCCAUCUAAUAACCCAAAUCAAAUAGCAUUGGGGCUUAGUAAUGAUAGGGCCCACAUUCUUGAACCCCUAGAAGCUGAAGAAUGAGGUGAACCACCUCCACAGCAGAUGCUAGGAGUAAAGCAAAUGUAAGUGGAUAAAUCUGUUUCAGGGUGACAAUCGCAGCAGGUUUUUGUUGCUUUUGACUUCUUUUGCAUAUCUUAUCAUCAGGUAACCAUCUUUUUGCACCUAGCUAUUGGUGUGUGGGACGAACCAUCAACAGUUUAAAUAGGUGCUAGUAAAAGGGAGGGAUUGGUAAGGUUUUGGGUUUGGGAUUUGGUUUCCCAUGUUGAUAUCUUUUCACCCUUAACUUGUCAAUAUAUAAUACAUAAUUUCUUCUGUUCCUUCUUUUCUUGAAUUUUUGCACAUGAAUCAAAUUGUUCAGAGAGAGGAAAUUGAUUUUCCAUGUUUGUAGAAUCUACUUAUAAUGAAGCGGUUUCAUCAUUAAGCACAUCAAUAUCAUCUUAAACAAAUAGAUGAAGCAAAGGUUUAUAAUAUUAAAUUUAAUUACUUCGAAAAAGAAACCAUACAACUUAAUGUCUCCUUUGUAAUAAAUGAGGUAAAUUUAAAGUAGUUUGCACACACAUAGCAACCAUAGGGAGUAGGCAUAUGCAGUCUCACAACCAUCAAAGUAGGCAUAAGUCUUUAACCCAUGGCAUAUUUCUGGGUCCAGGAAUGAGCAGUAGACUCGUACUUUGCUCUAUCAGUCUUGUAUGUAUGUGCAAUUUCUGGUACCAAAGGAUCAUCUGGGUUAGGAUCCGUCAGCAACGAGCAUAUCGACAAUAAGACCUGCAAAAAUUUUGUUCAUGACCAACCGGUUUAGAAAGGCUGACACAUAUCAGGUGAAAAUAAAGAGGGAAAGGGUAACAAUGGAAGUUACCUUUGAGACUGUAAGGGCAGGACUCCACUGCUCUUUCAAAAUGUCAAGACAGAUGCUACCAUUGCUGUUGAUGUUUGGGUGAUAAACUUUUGUCUUGAAGGCCACCUGCGCAAACUCAUUGUAAAGACAGGUUUACUCACUCAUCGGUGUAUAGGAUAACAAUCUUAAUCUAAUUCAGAUAUGAUCAAUUGUGUUGCUUGUUACCUUCGGUGGCUUGAAGGGAUAAUCAGGAGGAAAGUGAAUUGACACCAAAAACACCCCGCCAGCAUAAGGGCUAUCUGCUGGACCCAUAAUCGUUGCUUGCCAAUGAAACAUGUCAUCUCCAAUAGGACCUAUGAACAAGACCAAGCCAUUGAAUCUAUAUAUGAACAAGACAAGCUAAAAACACUAUUCUUCAAGCUCAUAAACGUUUUUGUCUUCAAAACUUGUCCUCAAAAACAAUUCUAGUUGAUCUAUAAGACACCAAAAUCGAUAUAUGUAAAUAGAACGAAAUAUAUUAACGAAACAAAGUCUGAAACAAACCUGCACUGCAAGAAACAGGAGGAUCCUUCUGCAGAUCUUUCAACUCCUUGGUGAUCCGUUUAGAAGACAUUGACGAUUUGUUUAAAAUCUGGGAAUUGAAACAAAGAAAUUAUCACCUUUGGAAAGAUAACAAAAUUUCUUAUAGUCAGGAAAAACAAACAAUUGUACUAAUUGGACCCUGAUUGCAUAUUCUUUACUUCUAUAUAUAAAGGAUGAAUAGUUUAAAAAGCCUCAAAAUUUGAUUUUUAGUUUUAUAAUUUAGACUUUUAUCAAGAAUCUCACCUGAAACAUAUAAGAAAACUAAUCUAAUUAAUGUAAAGCCUAAACCCAGAAUCUAAGAUCUGUAAUACAUUAACAAAAAGCUGAUAAAAAACACAAGAAGCAAAGAUCACUCAUACUCUAUAAACCCUAAAAACACUCUCAAUAGAUUCUUGAUGAAAUCUGAAUAAAAUAAUCUUAAAUAGUCAUGAAGCAUAUGAGAAAAAACCAAUCAAAAAGAUCAUUCAUCAGAAUCAAGAAAACCCUUAUUUAAUUUAUACCUUUAAGGGUCUCCCAAGAAACACAAAAGAAAAGAAGAAAAACCCUUUUUAAUAUGAAGGAGAGAGAUAGAGACAAAGAACUAACCUAUCUAUAUCUUUAUAUCAAUCUUGUCGCUAGGGUUUGAGGUAUAAGUGGAGGAGAAGGUUUUAUGAAUUGUACAAGAGCGUGAGAUUGGUGACUUUAUAUAAGGGUUUGGUUUCCUACGAGACAUAUGCUCCUUUCCAUGCACAACUCUCCUCAAACUUAGAUUUCCAUGUACAUAUCUAAUUCUGAAAUUUGAAUUGUUUUUAAAGUGAAAAUCUUGAAUUUUUUAUUUUAAAAAAUAUAUAUUAAUUAACACAUUUAAAAUAAAGUUAUAUAUAUAUAUAUAUAUUAAUAUUGUAGUCUUGAUUUUAAUUGAGACAAAAAAAAAGAUUUCAAAAUUUAGUUCUAAUUUAUUAAUUUAAGCUAUCAUUGAUAUAUAGGCUGUAACAUUAAGACGGAACGUGUUUCUUUUGUCAUCUAUAUUAAAUUAUGAAUCUUCGAAUGUAACUUACUCGUAUAAAUUAAUUAUGAUAAAAUUUUCAUUUAAGGUUAAUUGAAUUGAAUUAUAAUAGACGAUAUUAUAAAUAUCGUUAAUAUUUUAUUUCUAAUUGCUCUUUAUAUUAGUAUUACCUUUCUUUAUUUCCUCUCAUAAUUUAGAAAACUAACAUGGAUGGUUUGUAGUCGAUACAUGUAUAUAACAGUGGCAGAGCUAAGUUGGUGGUGGCGUUCAUCUUCAGUUUUUAAUUUUUUUAUUAUUAUAUGUAUAAAAUUUGAGAUAUAUAGAUUUAUUGUCUCGUAUGAUUACUUUUUAGCCAUCUCUCAUGUAAAAUCUUAAAUCCGUUAAUAUAUAUAUUAUUUUAAAGAAUUCAUUGUUACUGCAAUAAAUUUUCUUGUUGAAGGUUUUUUGUUAGCUUAAUUUAUAAUUUUUUUUUUGUUAGGCUAAGAAUGGAUUUUGGUUGGUGACGGAGUAUUCUUACUCGUCUUCCUUAGAAAUUUCUAUUGUUGAAACUACGAAAGGAUUCCUCUUGCUAGCAGAGAUUCCUGCCAUUGUUGCUCACAGAUCAAGACCCAUGGCAAAUUCAAGUGCCCUUGAACCCAAUUUUUUUUUUUUUUUUUACGUUUAUUAUACUAGAUCUCUGGGUUUUUAGUGUGGAUCUUUAAUGUCAAUCAAGAGAGAGAGAGAGGGGGCGGGAGGUUAUAGAGAAAAAUAAAGGAAAAAGUUCUGUUUCCGUGGUUUUAUUGUCACAUGUAAUAAGUCAGUGUUAUUAAAUAAUAAUAGUAAGAUGGACUCAUAUUUAGUUUAAGUCUGGCCUUCUCAAUUAUUUGUUACAAUUAAUAGAGAGCAAACAGUCAGUUCAACCUUUUCGGUGGAUUAUGAUCGAAAAUCGAAUUAUUCGAAUUUUUUUUUAAAAACGAUUGACUGAAUUGAUCGAAUUAUAUGAUAAAAAAAAUUCCAAUUAAUUAAUCUAUUUUAUUUGAAAAAUUGAUAGAACCGACUAAACCAUGAGUUCUACCUACGGCCAAAUAGUUAAUAGUUACAAUUCCCCACUUUUAUUACUUGGCAAACCCGAUUUAAACGUACUAAUUGCUAUUUCUUGAGUUAUUACCUCCAAAAAAUGGCUAGGGUAGAAGUUUUAAGUUCCUAAACACUCUGUGAUCCAUAUUCAACAUCAUGUCCAAAGGUUACAGCUCUAGCCUCGUUAUAUAUAUAGAACCCUUCAGCUAGGAUCUUGGCAGGAACCAAAUUGGGAGAAAUACAAGAGAAAGAAGAAAAUAGGAACAACAAAAGAAAUAUAUCCUAACAAGUUUGGAAAUGGCCAGCACCAAGACAACACUUGUACUUGCUGUUCUUUGUCUUCUCUUAUAUCUGAGGUACCAUGAUUUUAGGGUUUGUGAGCAGUUUUUGUUCGUAGUCUUAGAUUUCCCUAAACAGCAAUUAAUCAUUUCUUUAUGAUAAUAUUAUUAGGUGGGAAUCAUAUAUAUGCUUGAUAAAACAUUUACAUCUGAGUAUUUGGUUCAUUGGUUGGUGCACGAUUCAUUGUUUAGAGAGUAUGAUUCGAAUCCUCUGCUCCCAAUUAAAAAAAAAAAUACUUGAUAGAGUAUUUGAAAUUGUGUGAUUGAUGGUUCAAUAAUGUGCCUUUUUGAUUCUAUAUUUAGAUUGCCAGACCAAGUGUGCCUUCAUGGAAAUAGAAACAAGUGCCCUUGAGCUUCAAACAAGAUUAUUUCUAUAUAUAUUAAUGCAACCAGCUCUCAAAGGAUUUGAUGUUGGUCAUUAGGAGAGAUCAUAGACUUAACUAUUAUGUUUUUAACAAUUGAAAGUCAAAAAAAAAUUCUGUGUUUUAAGCAAACAAAAAGGUGCAAUGUGUUUUUAGUUAAUUAAAGAAUUUUUAAGUGAUGAAUCAUGUACCGAUAUGUGAAAUUGAUGAUGUAAUUUAAGUCAAUUAUAUAAUUAAUUAUUAAAUAAUUAAGUUUCAAAGAAUUUAAGAUAAAUACACUAGGUUUAGUUAAUUAAAUUUAAAAAAUUUGUAAUUCUAUCGAUCAAAAUUCAUCGAUGAGUAUUCAUAUUUAUCUUUAAUUAAUUAAAAUAAUUUAAAGCUAAUAUCAAAUUUUGACUAAUUAUAUUUUAAAAAUCAAUAGAUUAUCAAAUUAAAUUUCAGCAUAGAGUCAUCAUAUUUAUCUUUAAUUUAAUUAACAUCCUAAUUUUGUUCUCUAAAUCAAAGCCGGUCAUUUUUAAUGAACCUAAGUUAAAUUUAGAAUUUUAUUUAAAAGGAUAGAUUUAAUUAGCUAGUUAUGUCAAGACAGUUGGUUUUGUUUACUGCCCCAAUGUGAUUCAUGGAAUGAAACAAUUCUUUUAUUGCUAGAAAAUUAAAGUAUAAUAAAAUUUCUAAGAAAUCCUUUUUUAAGACUACCAAAAACAAUGUUUACCUUCCAAAGCUAUAAACCUAGUUUUAUAAUACAAGAUUCCAAAAUAAAAUAUGAUUAGGAGUCAACGUAGAACAAAAAGUUUAAAAUUAUAAAACUACUCUAUGUUGUAUGUAAAUUAGAAUUCUAAUUAAAUAAAAAUUUUAAAAUUAUAAAACUACUGAAAGUUGUAUGUAUAUUAGAAUUCUAAUCAAAUAAAAGUUUCGAAUCUUAAGAGACUCAAACAAGCUGUUUUCAUCAGGUAACUUGAACUUGUAAUGGAGCAUGAUUUCAUGCUAGGUCGGAUAACGUAGGAGGAAUAAGAGACUUACCCAGGACAAACGCAUGACCCCUAACAUAUACACUUACAUCCGAGGAACAAAGGAAACCUUAAAUUGCAGUUUCAGUUAUAGUUGUUUCUGAUGUUUUUGCAGAUCUAUUGGCAGCUUUGAUUGAAACUUUAAGCAGAGACUUAGCUCCUUUCUGCAUGAAUAAUAACUUGAAAUAAAAACUAAUAAAGUUUAAGCAAUAAUGAAAUUUGAUCAUUGAAAUGAUGAUCCUGAACAGGCAAUCCCAAAUGAGCACUAAAUGCUAGUAGUUCAAAGUAUAGAACUGGUGGGAAUAUUUUCCCUUAUUACAGCAGAUGGUAGAUAUCCUCAUGAUCCAAAUAUACCUGAUUGUGGGUUUGAAAUCAGGGGCACUUGGGCUUAUUCCCAUGUGUUUUGAGCCUUGCAUAGCAGGGACAGGCAUGCUUGUGGCCAUAAGUAACGGGUGGAACGCAGUGACAUCUCUUGCAGCAAGUCUGGCAUGCUCUGUGGCAAAAAUUCUUUCUCGAUGCUUUCCUGCAUCUCCUGGAGCAUGCAUAGUUGGAAUCUGAAUUUUCCCAAAAGAAACAACAGAAUUUUAUAGUUUACUUUCUUUAACGAGCAUAAUUUUGCUAUCGGCUUCAAUGACUCUUCUAUCCGAAUACAUUGUCUCUGCUCUCUAACAUUGUCAUGACCCGGCACUCUCUUCGAGCCCGUGAACAACCGUCGUGAAGUCUUGGUAAAUAUUCAUUACGCGGUAUAUCAACCGAAACCUCGCAAGACUCUAGCAUCAGUUUUCCGCCUCCCCUGUGAGAAGCAGUUACUAAAUAUCAUAUUUAAAGGGAAUAUAUACUAUCUUUAAAUCAAAGACAAUCAAAAAGUAAUUUCUACUGCACAGGGGUAUUUUUGUCAUUUUACCCAAAAAUUUCGAAACCUGCUUAAAAUAUAAUAUAUAAAUGAAAAAUAUACAUUUCAUAUCUAAAAAUCAUCCAUUUAAAGUGAAAUUAUAUCUAAUCAAACUAAAUAAAAAUAUUGAAUAAAAUAUUCCACUUUCAUAUGAAACAAUAUUUAUAAAAUUCUACGUAAAUAGUUAAUAAAAAGUAAUAACAAAAUAAAUUCAUAUAUAGAAUAGCACACUACGCCAAGGUAUAUAAAAAUAUUCUACAAUGACAUGUGAGCCCCAAAAUAACAAAAAUAAACACGACUGUAAACCUAUGAUUUCUAAUGGUACGAAUCCAAAAGCAAACCCUCGACAAAAUCGAUGGUCUACAGAUUGCCCUGAGCCAGAAAUGGGUGAAAUAAGGGUGGUGAGUUUUUAUAAACCCAGUAAGUAAGUAAAGUUCAUCUAUAACAUCUAAAGCCGAGUAAAUGGAGACAAUUAAAACUUCUCAUCAUAAUAUGAUUCAUAACCUUAAAACUCAUUUCAACCCAUAUAAAACAGUUACAUUUCAAAAAACUUUCAACAAGGCUUAUGACUCUCUUAAAAACUUGGCUCGUGCCAAAACUUGUACUCGGUGACACCUUGUGUAGGGCAUCCAACCGAGUUCACCAAGGCUGUUAAAAUAACAAAUACACAUAAAACAUGUUUUUAUAUUAAAAAAAAACAUAGUCGUUCCUUGGCAUUGGCUAAGUUUCACCCUCACGUGGUGGUUCGCCGUGAAGUGAACUCUAAACUACCUUAGGAGAUACCCACCGUGCCUCUCAUACUAAGGUAAAAUAUGAUGGGAUUUACCGUGCCCCUCUAAUAGGCCGGCCCACGAAAACCCGCCUAUUGCAGCAAGCUAAUCAAUUACCCCACCAAAUCAAUAAAAUUUCGGCAGUAUGACAUGGCUAAUAUGAUAUUACCCAGCCUGUCAAGGUAAAACAAAACUGUUCAUAUAUUCCACAUAAACACAAAUCUAGCCAUUCAUGCCAUCACAUUGUCAUAAGCCAUCAAAUUGUCAUAAGCCAUCAAUUCCAACCACAUGUCAAUUACAAAUCCCGUUAUGCCAAUACAUUUAUUACAAAGCAGGGUCGGCACAACUAACAAUAGUCAAAACAUAUAUAUAACACAAGUGUAUAGUCUCCGCUUACUCAAUUUCCAAAACCAGGAUUCAAUUUCAAACCAAAUUAUGAAUCUCAUUUCAUUUAACCAACACUUCAGUUAUAAAACAUAAUAGUUUACAAUUUAAGUUCUUUAUUCUUUAAAAUCAUAAAAACGAGUAUAAACUACUUUAGAUAGUUAAGAUGAUAGUAUGAUUACUCACAAUAACGAGAGUACUCCUACUCCUGGUCCUCGUGUACGAUAUCCUUACCCUUACCAGAGGGCUCACCAUCUAUACCUAAUACACAACAAGUAAUUCAAUACAUUUGUGCCAAACUAUUAUAAAACUAUUCCAGGCUCUAUAUGAAUGCAUGAAAUUGAAUGAGAAAUGUUCGAAUAAUCACUUAAAGAUGGUGUUCUACGUAGGUUCAAUUGUUAUUGGACUAAAAUGGUAUUCAACCUAACUUGCACUAUACACUGUUUAAUUAGCCAAAACAUCUUAUUCAACUCCAAAUAGAUUCAUUACACUUUCGAUACUCCAAAUACAACCAAAGUACCUCAAUGAACUUGAUUGUGACUUAAAUGAUCACAUCCGAAACUCAUUUCGAUUCCAAGCUAACGUGCUAAUCAGUGUCAACACAGUCCAAUAAGUCUGUAUAUAUCAUUAGAAAUCAAAUUCAAGUCCAUUUACCAUGAUUUUCUCAUAGUUGUUCAAGUCGUUUACUAAAGGCACUAUACUUUUUCGAUAACCAUUGUCGAUAUCCGACACCAUAAAUCAUCAAAUACGAGCUAAAUAAUAUGAAAUAUAACAAAAUUCAUCAUCAACAUAUCCCCUAUUAAAUUUGGCUAAGGAGGGUUUAGUGAAGGACAUGUGGUUUUCUUGCUUGUUUUUCAUACCGAAUAUCACAAAACAACUAAAAACACCUAGAUAGCAUGAAAUCUAACAAAAGCCAUCAUCAAAACUUCCCCCCCUUGAUUUGGCCAACAUGACUUCCUUCAUGAAAGUUUGGGUUUCAACCAUAGAAAAUGAAAAAGAAAGCAUGGGAGAGGUGAAUCUUAAGCUAAAAUCGCGAAAUCUUACCUCAAAUCGCUUCGUUCUUCGAUAACCGAUAAAUUUCUCUUGAAUUUUCUUCCUCAAGGGUUGUUUCUAUUCUUUUCCCCCUUUUCUUUGGCUUCCACGGCAAUGAAAGAAGACUUGGGAGAGGUUUAUGUUGAUUUAUAAAGAAAAUUAUAAAAGAAUUAAAGCUUGACACGUGUCAACAUGUGAAUGGUUCAUAGUUAAAUCUUAACUAUUAAGCAUUUUCUUACCACCACAUAUAAUACCUUAAUUAUCCUAAGUAUAAAAUGAUAAUAGGUGAAAUUCAUGGGCUUGACAAGUGUCACGGUGGUGUAAAAUUUUAAAAUUUCCUAUUACGUCCUCAUGGACACGUGGAAUGAUCGGUUUUCCCUUAUUCUAGGAAAAAUGUCGGAAUUGGAAUUUUUCACUUCUCAAAUUCAAAUUAUGCUCCAAAUAAUCAAACUUGAUCAAAAAUCUUGUCGAACAUUCCAAUUUUUGCCCUCGAGUGGCAAAAUGACCAUUUUGCCCCCUACAUUAUAAAAAUUUUCAAUUGGAUUCCAAAUUAAUCUUUGAACUCCGAAUCACCAUUCUAAGACAUUCUAAGGUUCAAUAACUCUCAAAUANUUUUGUAAUUUUUUUUUUCGGGACUCUCCUAGCAUUCAAUCAUGCUAUCAUCACAUGUUUGUCAUGAAUAGUAUUUUAUAAGAUCGGGCUUUACAAACAUGAUAAGUUUGUUGAUAUUUUCCACUGCUACAAUCCAUGUUUCCAUAGAAUCAAGCCAAGCCUGAAUGUCAUCAAAAGCAUAGCACAUGCCUGGCCUUUUCUCACAAUUUAAAUGUGCUUGAAUCAGCAGCAGCUGGUUCCCAGGUUAGUUGUUUGUACGCCUUCAGGUUCGGUUACCCUAGUUAUUAAUUAGUUUGUGUUCAUCCAAAGCAGGCCAUAUCAGCAAUUAGAAAGCCAUAUUAGUUUUAACUUUUUUCUUAAAGUUAUCAUUUUCGCUUGGGUCUUUUUCCUGCUUUAUAUAGAGUCCCUGGAGUAAGUGUAUUUGCUUAUGGUUCUGAUGGGCAUUGAGUUUGCAGGGUUAACUUUCUUCUCCCUCCCCCCCCCACACCUUCCUUCAACCUCCUUUUUCUUUCAAAAAAGAACUUUUAGAUGAUUCGAUGUCAUGUUACACUUAAAUAUUAUUGCAUGGUUCCUUAUGAUUUUCAACUUCAAUUGUAUUAAUGAUUAAGAACGAAUACAUGACAUGGUGAGCUUGAAUGUUAUGCUGCUGUGCGUUUGGAAUGCAAAUGGAUGGGAAAAGCUAGCAAGCAAGUUUAUGUGUUGUCUUUGGGCAGGCGGUAGACCCUUCAGUGGUCAACUUUAUUUAGUUUCGCCAAGAUCAGGUUCACCUGCUUGCUGUCCAUGAAAGGCUGAUAGGCAUAUACUAAGCACCCUUACUGAAUCAUGUUAUUCAGCUGAUACAAACAAUUCAGAAACUUCAGAUAGAUUCAUAUAGUAAUAGUAGUCUUCAAUCUGUACGAGUGAGUUUUCUGUUGCAUUGGGUUCCUAAAGAAGCAGACCUUCCAAUCACAUCUGCAACCUAUUCUUCAAAUGCUCAGUCAAUAUAUAUUAGCUUCAAAACUGGAUGUAUAAAGUUUCUUGUCUCUAC
This 10320-nucleotide long non-coding RNA is filed under the name Theobroma cacao (cacao). Its description in RNAcentral is "long non-coding RNA (TCAC_LNC004951)". Lineage: Eukaryota; Viridiplantae; Streptophyta; Magnoliopsida; Malvales; Malvaceae. The record is from RNAcentral.